CAGUGCAUCUCCACGUCCACCACCUCGUCGUCGGCGCCACCGCGAGCAGCGGGGAACCAAAGCUUCAUCCAAGUCACACGCUCUACGGGGAAUUUCUCGCCAGGUAUGUGACUGCGCUUUACCAUUGCUCCGCUUGCGAUUAUACCCUUUGGCCUCCGGCUCUAGUUCAUACUGUGUCUUUUAGGAGUAGUAGGACUCUAGAUUUAUGGGUUUCCACGAUCCGAUCGAAAUGCUGCUGUGGUGGACAAAGCCUCAGUUUCUGAUUCCUCUGCUUCAUUCCCUAUGAGAUACAUCGAUGCCAGAGGCUGUAAUCUAGUUAUGCGUGCCGCUGGGAAAACAUAGAAAUAAUACAUCAUAGCGGAGUGUUGCAUUACUACGGAUACUUCGUGGUUCUUCCCUGGCAACCUCGAUUCCCUUUAACUCAUGGUGGGAAGCAAAAAAUAGGAGACUAAGGUGGUGUUUGGAUCCAAGGUUCAUGGGCUAAAGUUUAGUCCCUAAAAUUUAGCCCCGAAAGUUUAGUCCUUGUGGGGUGUUUGGAUCCAUGAGCUAAAAUUUAGUCUUCCUUGAAGUAAUGACUGAUUUACCCUCAUUUAUUGAUUCUAUGCACAUGCAUGUCUCAAAUUCAUUUAUUGACUCCAUGCACAUGCCAGCCUCGAAUUGGUGUGCUCUCUAUGCACAUGCACGCCUGAAAUAGUUCACUUGAAUCUAUCCAUGCACAUGCACAUGCAUAGGCGCCGCCCGGCCAGAAACACACUGCUGUUCCUGCUGGUCUCUCAAUAUUUUACAAUCAUUCAAGUACACAACUCAGUGGUCCUAGGCAAUACAAGAAAUCAAAUACUCUACGAUCUAUCAUACAAACUUGAGGCUAUUUGAUCACGGAAUGCAUUCAUAUUUGUAUCUUCGUCCUUUGAUUGAGUACUUUGUGUUGGGGGUUGAGAGGUUGAUGCUUCAUGAGGAACAUAGUUCUCAUCACGGUCACAACGAUCAAAGUCCUCAUCCUCCAUAUGACUCUCUCUAAUAAAAUUAUGAAGUGCCAUACAUGCAACAAUUAUCUGGCUUUGCUUUGGCAUUGGAUAACUUGGCACUUUCAACAAAAUCUGCCACUUCAUCUUAAGAACUCCAAAUGACCUCUCGACGCAAUUCCUAAGAGAUGAAUGAGCGAAGUAAAAGGUCUCUUUCAUACCUUUGGGCAUCGGCUCAUGCCUAAACUUUGGAAGAUGGUACUUUGUUCCCUUGUAAGGUGCAACAUAACCAAGCCGAUUGGGGUAUCCAGAGUCCACUAGAUAAAACUUCCCUGCAAAUACGAACAUUAUUGUUACAAACAAAAGCUACAACCAAAGUGGCAUAUAUACUGAAUGUGCAAACAUAGGCACAACAUACCAGGAGGGGGAUGUGGGAACUUGUCUUUGUAUUUGUCCCUUGCAUCAUUGAAAACUCUCAUGUCAUGUACUGAACCAGGCCAGCCCGAAAGAACAAAGUGAACCUCAAGUCAAAGUCACAGACCGCAAGCACAUUCUGUGUAGUGAAGCCCUUUCGACAUACAUGUUGCACCACCUUGUUAUUUGGCACGACAACUGGUAUAUGAGUGUCAUCUAUUGCUCCUAUACAAUUAUUGAAGUGUGGAGAGAACCUAGGAUUCUGUAAACUACAAUGCAUUGUUUUAAAUUCAGGGUCGACCAGCUUAAUUAUAUCACCUACUAGCUAUAUAACACACUUCAAAACUUUGUCAAAAUUGCGGUGAACUGUAUCUAAUGAUAUCUCUAAUCUGUUCUCGGCUUGUCUGACUGACUAAGGUGCACCAACCAUCCAAAGAAACAUUCCUAAGUCCUCUACUGAAGAACUCUUUGAUGUGGACUUUAGGCCAUAUGAUUGCACCAAUAGAUCAUGCAGUCGAUCAAACAGUUGUCUACUCAUUCUAAACAUGUUAUAGCAUUGGACACCAUCUGCUAGAUUUCUCAUCACCCAAUCAUGGCCACUUUCAACCGUCUUUCUCUUCUUAGCUUUAUGGAAGUAAGUGUUAUUGUACAUACCAAACAUAAGUAGAUCCUCUGUGAACUGCCUUCAUAUUCGUUGUCCUCAAUAAUGAGCCUGAAGAGCUCAUCGUCACUUGAAUCACUAUCCACAUCCAUAUCUUGAGACAUAAUAGAUAAUUGCAAUCAGUUAAAUUUAUUUCUAUCAACACAUACACUUCAAACCAAAUUCAAUUCAGCCAACACAUCAGUUCAAAGCACAUUCAUUUCAGGCAACACAAACAAUUCAAAGCAAAUUCAUUUCAAAUCUAGGUUCAAGUAGUACAGACAGUUCAAGUCAUCACAAAUGCAUCAUCACAAAGACAUAAUUCUAAUCUAGGUUGUGCUUCUUGCAAUAUCUCUUCAAGAAGGCCAACCUUCCUUUUGUUGUAGAUAUGUUAAUGAAGAACUCUCUCAUUAGCUCAUUUAAACAAAUCUAGGAAACAACAUAGUACUCCGUACUAGUUUCAUCCACCCCACACUCUAAAACCAAUUUCUGAGCCUGCUUAAUGGUGUUGGACAACUAAGCCUUCCUGUCUUGCCUAGUACAGAUAGCUUGCUUGAUGUAUUCAUUCCUUUCAGCUUGCUGCUUAGAAGAGAAACUAAUGUAAUCCUUCAUCAUUUUGACCAUUGGGCUUUUGGACUUCUUGCUUGAACUUGAAGCUGUUGUGCUAGUACUACUUGUUCUCUUGCGGCUGCUUGUACUCAUAGGACUCUGUGUAUUCUCUUCCUCAGGCUCUUCAUGCUCUAUGGUUGUUUGAUCAUCUGUAUUGGUGUGUCCUGCAAUAAAAGAACCUGAACCAUCCACAACUAGACCAUCAAAUAUGCGUUCAAGCAUUGGUAGAUACUCUGGAGGCCCAUGCCUUAGUUUCUUCCAAUCUGGAUGCUUCUGCACAUGUAGUAGUUGAAGUUAGAAACAGUUUCUUACAGCCUGCACAUGUACUAGAUCAAGAAAUACCUCUGUUGCAGUCUCCCACCAUUCCAAGCUUGCAAUAGGCCACCCAUUUUCAUCGCGGCCUAAGCCAUUGUUGGAAUGGAUAUCUUUUAUGAACUGAUACAUUUCCUUGAGCUGUCUAAUUCUAUUAGCUAUCUGUUUCCUAUCAUGCCUGAGCCCUGACCCGCAGUAAUACUUUUCUAUGAUGAGCUUAUACCCUCUUGUUGUCAUACUCCCUUUGAUGUAGUUACCCAUUUCAAUUUGAUCAACGAGUAAUUGACACAUCAAGUUGUUAUUGUGCUCUGAUGACCAACUUCCUCUGCCAAAUUUAUUCUACCAUAUGCAUCACAAGAACACGCAUUUGAUAUUACUCUAACAGCAAUAGUAAAUUCACGCACUUGUCUGAGAUCAAAGGACAUGAGACUCAUACCUAAUGGCUUGGAAAAAUUUCUUCGACUUCAUUGUCAUCAACAUCGUCGUCGUUGUCGUCUUGCCGUCCACCACGUCGACCUAAGCCACGGCCUACGGAUGCAGCAAGCGCCACCAAAGAAGCUCCACGCAUCCCACGGCCGGUGGCGGGAACAGGUGGCAACCGACCGCGGCGGCCGUGACUGGAUGGCGACGAUUCGCCACGACCUGCUACGGCUCCACCACUGCUCCGAGCAUUGUGUAAACCCAGUGUGCGAGAGCAACCUCUUUUGCCACCGCGCGGUUGAGAGGGAUGAGGCCCCAUGCUCUCGGAUGCAGCCAGUGCGCCGGACUACAAGAUCCCCUGAUAAGCCGCCAUUGAGGACCAGUCAUUCGCCUGCGAGUUGAGGUUGAGUGCCUCAAUGCCAAUCCGGGGACCAUGGACGGAUCCUGACCCGGAUACUGGCUCCCCUCACCAGAGAAAAGGUCGAAGCUGCCGGAGAAGAAGUCCCUAGUGCCGUCAUCGCCGUAUCCGUUCAUCAGCGGCACGCGGAUGUGGAUCUUCUAGCUUGUAGGCGGUUUAGGUGCUCCGACCACAGUGCCACGGCCGAAUGGGGCGGCACCGGAGGAGCACGGGCUACUGGUGUGGUGAGAGGGAGGGGAGGCAGGGGGAGUCGGGCGAUAGGGGUGGACGCGGUGUAGAUGUGGCGAGUGGGGUGCGAGAGGGGUGGCGGCAGACGAAAUCAGGAGAGAGGGGUGGCGGCGGCGAUGCGGGAGCAUUUGAGAGGAAGGGGAGGUGGGGGGAAUCGGGCAAUACGGGCGGAGGCUAUGGAGAUCUGGCGAGAGGGGCGGCGGACUGCGGAUGAGGGCGAUGCGGAUGAGGGCGAGGGGCAGGGUGCGGGCGCGUGCCUAGGGUGUUGUGCGAGGGGAGGGGUAUGGAGCGUCCGGGACCACUUUUAUCUCAGUUUAGGGUCUCUUUGAGGGCUAAAACUUUUAGUCCAAAGUUUAGUUCUUUGCCCCCUUUUGCCCACCUGUUUGGAUUCUAAGAGCUAAAUUUUAAGCUAAAAGUGUAGAACUAAAAUUUAGCUUAUGGAUCCAAACAGGCCCUAAAAGCACCUGCAAAGUGCACAUGUUCUUUUGGCUUGAUCUUCUCUUUCUUUAUGUUACUGCUGGUCCUUAGUUUGGAGCGGCUUCCACGCAACAAUCUCCCAUACAGCGCCGUAGGCAUGCCUGCAUGCCGUGGCCAGAUGCAGGAGACCGUCUCCCAUCCCCUCCUUGUCUGUGCUUUAAGCAGAGAGGUCUUGUUCUUACUUAUUCAGUCGGCUGCGAAGGCUGUGUGUUUCCGAACUUCCGACUCCAGUUGUUUCACCUUUUUCUGUAAAAGUUUGAAAAAUUGCCGGGUCGGUCAGGGUCAAUCCUUGUCUCUCCGCUUUAGUUGACCUUAAAAUAGAUGCUUGAUGUAGACUCUGACUUGGAUGUUCCGGGGCAAGUUCCGAGGUAAGGACGCAUGGCUCAUCAAACCAAGGCGGAAGUGGGAGAUCUAUUCAUUACGCGCGUGACUCGCCCGUAAGGGCAGUCCCAAUGGGACAUUGAUGAUAGUUUCUAUCCCUCUUAAUUAUCAUGCCAACUAAGCAAUUUGCUGAUGUGGUAGUAGAUUUAUUAUGGAGAGAGAGAGAAACCAUUUCUUAGAGAGGAAACCAAGUCCUCACGCGCACCAAUGAGCCAAGAAACCAGCGAAUCUGCAUUGGGGAGACCCAAGUAGUUUCUUCUUACUUAUUGCCGGAUCCUUUGCGCUUGCACCGCUGCUACCCAUCACUCGAGCUCCUUUACAUGAUGCACAGAGGAUCUGGUACUAGAAGGGAGAAUGAUUGGUUGGAUUUUUGUUUAGACUCUAGAUAAAAAAGUUGCAUUGUGAAGAAUGAUUUCUUGAUACAAUAUCCUAGACUAUGGAAACUAGGUUGGUUUCUCCCAUUGGGACUGCCCUAACAAUUUCAGAAUAAUUUCUAUUUUUUAUGCAAAUUUCCUAUUUCUUAUUUGGGAAAUUUUAGUUUGCUUAGAAUAUUUUUACCUGUUCCCGAACAAUUUCUAAAUCUAAAAUUGAAACAACUGUUCCAGCUUCACAGUCAAAUUGUUUCAGCUAGAACAAGUGUGAUUUGUUUGGAAAAUCUUAUUACAAUAAACACAAUGAUGCAAUCGAAAUUUUGGUUGGACACAGGAUUUUGAACAUCAGUUUUUUAGGCCAUAUAUAGUUGCGAAAAGAAAACUAGGAAAACAACUGAAACUUGACUUCUUGUAUUAGGACGUCAACACAGUUGUAAAUCAAAACUCAGCAACAACAUCUAUAUAUCUAGUUAGAUUGGGACGUAAGAGUAGCCGCACCACUAUUGACCGGUCGGACUAUGACAUCAACCAAUGCCGCACAACAUCCACUAGUGGGGAAUAGAUCCUUCAUCCAUUGCAUUAGUGCUGAUUGGAAUUGAGUCCGGUACGAAUGUGAGCAUUAGUACCGAGCCUAAUGGCUAGCCGUGCAGGGCCAUCCCAUGAACACCUUUAGUACCGGUUGGGCGUACCAAAUAGUACUAAAGGGUACACAUUAGUACCGAUUGGUUCCCCCACCUGGUACUAAUGUGCCACCGAGCCUUUAGUACCGAGUGGGGUACCAACCGGUACUAAUCUGCACCCUUUAGUACUUGUUGGUGUCUCUAACCGGUACUAAAUUCCCCCUAUAAAUCCACCUUCUUCUUCUUGCUGCCUGAGCCAUUCACCACAACUCGAGUUUCAUCCUAUCCAUGGUGCCAUAGGGGAGGUGCUGCCUAAUUGAAGAUCAUUUCGUGCAAAUUUCACUCAUUCAAAUGUUCUAAAGGUUAGAAACUUCAUCCUCCCUUGAUACAUGGUUAGUAUACAAAGUUUUGUGCUUUAGCUAGAGUAAUUUGUGAUUUUUAGAAUAAGGUACAAUGGAGAAAAUUUUCAUUUAUUUGCAUGUGUUAUUUAGAGCUCAUCUUUGUGAUUUUUAGAAUAAGCUACAAUUUUUUAGAUGCUAUGUUCGUAUUAGUCAAAGAAAUUGAUAUGAGGUUAGAGGAAUAAUUUCAUAGUUUCGUACUUUUCAAAUAUGAGCUAAAUAAAUUAUGGCAAAUGUGAGCGAGAUAAAUUGUGGUACAUAGAGAUAAUAAGAUGAAAUAGAGGUACAUAAUUAGUCAUUUAUAUGUUAUGUUUGAUCUAAGUAAAUUGUGGGGAAAAUAUAUAAUUUGUUCAUAGUUAGUCAUCUGCAAAUAUGAGCUAAAUAAAUUUUGGUAUAUAGAUAUGGCUUCUGCUGCUAGAGGUAGUGGCGAUGGUGCGGGUGAUCGUCAUUCCUCUCGCGGCAAAGUGAAAACUAUAGUUGGCCUCAUGAUAAGCCGAAGAAAAUGAGCACGUGGAAGAAAAAGCAAUGCUUCGUUAUUUGCAAAGAUGUCAUGAAGAUACUGUUGCGGCAGGUCAGGAACCUCCUUUUGGUGGUCGUUAUGCUCCACCGCUAGUCUCGGGUGUUUCAGGUCCACUUAGU
This 6889-nucleotide long non-coding RNA is filed under the name Setaria viridis. RNAcentral describes it as "long non-coding RNA (SVIR_LNC009518)". The record is from RNAcentral. Lineage: Eukaryota; Viridiplantae; Streptophyta; Magnoliopsida; Poales; Poaceae.